CCUACGGGAGGCAGCAGUGAGGAAUAUUGGUCAAUGGCCGGAAGGCUGAACCAGCCAAGCCGCGUGAAGGACGAAGGUGCUAAGCAUUGUAAACUUCUUUUAUCAAGGGACAAAAUCAGGCUCGAGAGCCUGACCGAGGGUACUUGAAGAAAAAGCAUCGGCUAACUCCGUGCCAGCAGCCGCGGUAAUACGGAGGAUGCGAGCGUUAUCCGGAUUUAUUGGGUUUAAAGGGUGCGUAGGUGGGCUGUUAAGUCAGCCGUGAAAGCCCGGGGCUCAACCCCGGAGGAGCCGUUGAGACUGGCUGUCUUGAGAUGUCGAGAGGUAGGCGGAAUGCGCGGUGUAGCGGUGAAAUGCUUAGAUAUUGCGCAGAACUCCGAUUGCGAAGGCAGCAUAC
This 394-nucleotide ribosomal RNA is filed under the name uncultured bacterium. Its description in RNAcentral is "partial 16S ribosomal RNA". It matches the Rfam family "Bacterial small subunit ribosomal RNA", at positions 338 to 729 of the family's 1533-position model. The record is from RNAcentral.